Molecule: long non-coding RNA, 1192 nt
Organism: Aphis gossypii (cotton aphid)
Lineage: Eukaryota; Metazoa; Arthropoda; Insecta; Hemiptera; Aphididae
Exons: 3
Source: RefSeq, a predicted model, not a curated record
CCAAACUCGGUUAAGCGUAACCGCUGCGUAAUUGUGAUUAAGAACUAACCCCCCCAAUUUCGGCCGUUUAUCGUUCUUAAUCGCGGUUAGUUUCCGGAGAUAUUGAUAAUUUUAUCAAUUAUUAAAAUAUUUAAAAAAUAUUAACAAAAUAUUUUCUAUUUUGUAUGAGGAUUUUGUAUUUUGUUUAAACUUCAAGUGUUUUGUAAAUGUGUUUUUUGGUUUCAAAUAUAUUUAUAUAUUUACAAAAUGCAACGAGCUCGUAAACGUGUGUUUCAACUUUGUUUUGAAAACGAUGAAGACGACGAAAAUGACUUCAUAAUUUUCGCUGUCCGCCAUCCAAGAUGGAUACGGGAAAGGGCCGAAGACUUCGAUAGUCUGGAUGAUCGGGAUUUCAUUAUGAGGUACAGACUGACAAAACCCACAGUUUUGUCAAUUCUGGAAAAAAUAGAACAUCAUCUUGAGUAUGAAACAGACAGAAAUAACUGAAUAUCCCCGAUUAAUCAGUUAUUAUGCACUCUUCGAUUUUCUGCCACUGGAUGCUUUCAAACCACUGCAGGGGAUCUAUGUGGCUUUAGUUCCUCAACAGUAAAUAGGAUAGUGCAUAAAGUUAGUUAUACUAUUGCGUCCUUGCGUAGUCAAUAUAUUAAAUUUCCUGGAACACCAGAGGAAAUAAGACGAACCCAGUUAAAUGUUUACAGAAGAGCCAAGUUCCCAAGAGUCAUCGGUGCUAUUGACUGUACCCAUGUGAAGUUGUGGCAAUCACCAGGUGGAGAAUCUGCUGAGCGUUUCCGAAACCGCAAAGGAUAUUUUUCGUUGAACGUUCAGGCGAUAUGCAACUCUAAUUUAGAAAUAAUGGAUGUUGUUGCAAGAUAUGAUGGAAGCACUCAUGACUCCAGAAUAUUUCAAGAGUCAAAAAAAAAGAGUUUUUUUUUAGCAAGGAGUUUAUGGGGACGCAGUACUGGUAGGAGAUAGUGGCUAUGCCUCUGCAAAUUACAUGAUGAUGCCAUACACCAGCGGAAAACUUGUAUAAUGAGUCACAGAUGAGGACAAGAAAUGUCGUUGAAAGAUUUUUCGGGGUUUGGAAAAGACGUUUUCCAGUAAUGGCUUUAGGUUUACGAGUAAAACUGAUGCGUGUUUUCCCUAUCAUCACUGCAACAUUAGUAUUGCAUAAUAUUGCUCGAAGAGCUGGAGA